Molecule: ribosomal RNA, 261 nt
Filed under: uncultured bacterium
Lineage: Bacteria
Description: partial 16S ribosomal RNA
Rfam family: Bacterial small subunit ribosomal RNA
Source: RNAcentral
GUCCACGCCGUAAACGUUGGGCACUAGGUGUGGGACUCUAUCGACGGGUUCCGUGCCGUAGCUAACGCAUUAAGUGCCCCGCCUGGGGAGUACGGCCGCAAGGCUAAAACUCAAAGGAAUUGACGGGGCCCGCACAAGCGGCGGAGCAUGUGGCUUAAUUCGAUGCAACGCGAAGAACCUUACCUGGGUUGAACUAUGCAGGAAAAGCCGUAGAGAUACGGUGUCCUUCGGGGCCUGCGAUAGGUGGUGCAUGGCUGUCGU